CCUACGGGUGGCAGCAGUGAGGAAUAUUGGUCAAUGGACGCAAGUCUGAACCAGCCAUGCCGCGUGCAGGAAGACGGCUCUAUGAGUUGUAAACUGCUUUUGUACGAGGGUAAACGCAGAUACGCGUAUCUGUCUGAAAGUAUCGUACGAAUAAGGAUCGGCUAACUCCGUGCCAGCAGCCGCGGUAAUACGGAGGAUUCAAGCGUUAUCCGGAUUUAUUGGGUUUAAAGGGUGCGUAGGCGGUCGGAUAAGUUAGAGGUGAAAUCCCGAGGCUCAACUUCGGAAUUGCCUCUGAUACUGUUCGGCUAGAGAGUAGUUGCGGUAGGCGGAAUGUAUGGUGUAGCGGUGAAAUGCUUAGAUAUCACGCAGAACCCCGAUUGCGAAGGCAGCCUGCCAAGCCAUGACUGACGCUGAUGCACGAAAGCGUGGGGAUCAAACAGGAUUAGAUACCCUAGUAGUC
This 460-nucleotide ribosomal RNA is filed under the name uncultured bacterium. Its description in RNAcentral is "partial 16S ribosomal RNA". It matches the Rfam family "Bacterial small subunit ribosomal RNA", at positions 338 to 795 of the family's 1533-position model. The record is from RNAcentral.